This 301-nucleotide ribosomal RNA is filed under the name uncultured bacterium. RNAcentral describes it as "partial 16S ribosomal RNA". It matches the Rfam family "Bacterial small subunit ribosomal RNA", at positions 509 to 807 of the family's 1533-position model. The record is from RNAcentral.
CAGUCGCCACGGUAAUACGAAGGGGGCUAGCGUUGCUCGGAAUUACUGGGCGUAAAGGGAGCGUAGGCGGAUCGUUAAGUUGGGGGUGAAAGCCCGGGGCUCAACCUCGGAACUGCCUUCAAUACUGGCGAUCUUGAGUAUGAGAGAGGUGUGUGGAACUCCGAGUGUAGAGGUGAAAUUCGUAGAUAUUCGGAAGAACACCAGUGGCGAAGGCGACACACUGGCUCAUUACUGACGCUGAGGCUCGAAAGCGUGGGGAGCAAACAGGAUUAGAUACCCCCGUAGUCCCUGUCUCUUAUAC